UAUGCAACCUCCCAGUGUGCCUACAAACAACAAACAUAACACUUUUCAUCGUUCCAAUCUCAAAAUGAAGGUCCUGAUUAAUUUCAUAUUCAUGCAAAAAACAUAAAACAAAUCGACAGGAGAGACAUGAAUUACUCAGACUUCCAAGUGUACUUUGUCAAGGUGAUACUUUGUCAUUCCAAGUAUCCUUAGCAGAACAUUCAGUUAACCAUUGAUACCAGGACAAUUGUUCUAUUUGACUUGCAACAUCUUUCUUUCUUUUCUUUUGUUCACAUUUUCUAUUCUUUUCUUUCUUUUCCUUUUGGCCAAGUAUCCUUAGCAGAACAUUCAGUUAGCAUGCUACCAUGAUCACCACCUUAGUGUAAGACUUG
RNAcentral lists this long non-coding RNA (371 nucleotides) under Theobroma cacao (cacao). Its description in RNAcentral is "long non-coding RNA (TCAC_LNC006099)". The record is from RNAcentral. Lineage: Eukaryota; Viridiplantae; Streptophyta; Magnoliopsida; Malvales; Malvaceae.